GAGAAGUGAGUACGCCAGUAUUCACGGAGCCAUUGGUGGGAUACCAACCUUGUUUUAUUGGAAUUCUAACGAGAAGCGUAACGAGCUUGCGGACAGUCUCAGGCGGGCAGUUUGACUGGGGCGGUCGCCUCCGAAAGAGUAACGGAGGCGCCCAAAGGUUCCCUCAGCGCGGACGGAAACCGCGCGAAGAGUGCAAAGGCAGAAGGGAGCUUGACUGCGAGACGGACAGGUCGAGCAGGGACGAAAGUCGGGCUUAGUGAUCCGGUGGUAGAGAGUGGAAUUGCCAUCGCUCAACGGAUAAAAGCUACCCUGGGGAUAACAGGCUUAUCUCUCCCAAGAGUCCAUAUCGACGGGGAGGUUUGGCACCUCGAUGUCGGCUCAUCACAUCCUGGGGCUGAAGUAGGUCCCAAGGGUUGGGCUGUUCGCCCAUUAAAGUGGUACGCGAGCUGGGUUCAGAACGUCGUGAGACAGUUCGGUCCCUAUCCAUCGCGGGCGUAAGAAACUUGAAAGGGGCUGCUCCUAGUACGAGAGGACCGGAGUGGACCGACCAAUGGUGUACCAGUCAUGGCGCCAGCCGUGCAGCUGGGUAGCUACGUCGGGGACGGAUAAACGCUGAAAGCAUCUAAGCGUGAAACCAGCCUAGAGAUGAGGUUUCUCAUUGUUUUAACAAGUAAGGUCCCACAAAGACGAUGUGGUUGAUAGGCCGGGAGUGGAAGUACAGUGAUGUACGGAGCGGACCGGUACUAAUAGACCGAGGACUUGACUUA
This 767-nucleotide ribosomal RNA is filed under the name Megasphaera elsdenii. Its description in RNAcentral is "bacterial LSU rRNA". It matches the Rfam family "Bacterial large subunit ribosomal RNA", at positions 2157 to 2925 of the family's 2925-position model. The record is from RNAcentral. Lineage: Bacteria; Bacillati; Bacillota; Negativicutes; Veillonellales; Veillonellaceae.